CCAUGACAGACUUUAUUACAUCUAUUGUUAACAUAAUAGCACUAAUCUGAAAAGAAAAAAAAAAACAGAUUUUAAUUCUUUAUUUUUUUUCUUGCAGGCGAUCUAUUCAUUCUUUUUUCCGGGACAUGCCGUCCACCAGCGGCAGCUUAGAUUCACUGAAGCAACCUGACUGGUCAAAAUUGCUGCCUCGGGUUCCCCUGUUUGCAGCCACUUUGAUGAAUCGAUAGCCCAUAGGGACAUGCAGCGGUUCUGAGAAUGUCUGAGCGGAUCUGCUUUUUAACUGCUGAGCUACAAGGUUGUUGCCUGCUGCCCUGCAUUUUCACAGCAGGGCGCAGGGAGGAUCGCCGUGAAUCUUAACACAUUAUUAGAAACGGCUGUUUGACGAUGGGACGACCUCAAGCUGUGUGACCUAUGAAAGUCUCACGUCUGUGUAGGGUGUAAAAGGUGCAAGGCAGGCGAAUUAAAUGAGGCUGAGCCGGUCUGGUUGUCUGCUGUGAUAAUACCUGGUCAGUGGUGGGAAUAUGCCUUUUGUAAAGCCAAAGCACAUUCUGAGUGAGUGAUAUCUGGACUUUGGCAGUGGAUAAGCACCGUGGAUACGGCUGGCACUAUAGAAAGCUUAUACUGACCAGCUGCAUCAGGGUCUGGUCAGGAGCCUGCAGCGCCUCUGACCAGAAGUCCCUGCAGAGGGUGGUGAGGUCAGUGAAGAAAAUCACCAGGAGCUCUCUUCCUCGCAUCCAGGACGUUGGUAAAAAACGCUGCCUGACCAGGGCUCACGCCAUCAGGAGUGACACCUCACACCCCCUCAUGGACUGUUUUUGCUGGUGGACUGCCAGAAAGAGGCUCCGCAGCCUUCGCAGCAGAACAGCCAGGUUCCACCACAGCUUCUUCCCUCUUUCCAUAAGACUGUUAAACACUGAAUAACAAUAACUUCACCCUCCCUCACACACCUACU
Long non-coding RNA from Acanthopagrus latus (yellowfin seabream), 952 nucleotides. RefSeq lists it as uncharacterized. Lineage: Eukaryota; Metazoa; Chordata; Actinopteri; Spariformes; Sparidae. The record is from RefSeq and is a predicted model, not a curated record. The transcript is spliced from 5 exons.